CAGCAGCCGCGGUAAUACAGAGGGUGCGAGCGUUAAUCGGAUUUACUGGGCGUAAAGCGUGCGUAGGCGGCUUUUUAAGUCGGAUGUGAAAUCCCUGAGCUUAACUUAGGAAUUGCAUUCGAUACUGGGAAGCUAGAGUAUGGGAGAGGAUGGUAGAAUUCCAGGUGUAGCGGUGAAAUGCGUAGAGAUCUGGAGGAAUACCGAUGGCGAAGGCAGCCAUCUGGCCUAAUACUGACGCUGAGGUACGAAAGCAUGGUGAGCAAACAGGAUUAGAUACCCGAGUAGUCCCUGUCUCUUAUAA
This 301-nucleotide ribosomal RNA is filed under the name uncultured bacterium. Its description in RNAcentral is "partial 16S ribosomal RNA". It matches the Rfam family "Bacterial small subunit ribosomal RNA", at positions 509 to 809 of the family's 1533-position model. The record is from RNAcentral.